Long non-coding RNA from Humulus lupulus (European hop), 622 nucleotides. RefSeq lists it as uncharacterized. The transcript is spliced from 2 exons. The record is from RefSeq and is a predicted model, not a curated record. NCBI's taxonomy places the organism in Eukaryota, Viridiplantae, Streptophyta, Magnoliopsida, Rosales, Cannabaceae.
ACACAUGUAAUUGACAAAAUUAAAAUUAAAUUCAGAAAAGAAAAAAAAUUAAAACUAAACAAAUCUAGAGAAAAAAAAAAGUUUUACUUUUUUCUUCUCGUUCUUCCAACAGAUCUGGGCAGUGCGAUGGUGGAUAUUGGCACUGCAAUGGCGGAGGAGCUCGCUAGCAGAUCUAAAGCCCGACGCCAAUUCUGAAACCAUUGAGAUGGUGCGAGCUUGAUUCGCCUCCUUUGCGACAGAUAUGAAGCUCUGCAGGGAUCGCAAAGGCUGGGUUCAAUCGGAGUCGAGGACAAUGAGAUCGCAAAGGUUGGAUCAGAAUCCGGGUUGGAGACAAGUAGAUCUAGAGAGAUCUGAAUAAUAUUUGAUUACUAAUAACGAUAUUUCUAGAAAAUUUCUUUGGCUUUGAGUGGAUCACUAUAUGAAUUCGAAGGGGCUGGAGAUGCAUUCUGAGUAACUUUACCCUGCAAAAAUUGGAUGAUAUAUUAAAGGAUUGCAACAGGUGCUUUUUUUUUCCUCAGGAUGAUUUCCAUCCAAUAAUCUUAAUGAUGUAUGUAUCAUAUAAUUACAAUCUUCAAACAAAUCCAGUGGAGGUUACACUAACUAUGGUAAUAAUUUAUACCAA